Molecule: non-coding RNA, 318 nt
Organism: Branchiostoma floridae (Florida lancelet)
Lineage: Eukaryota; Metazoa; Chordata; Leptocardii; Amphioxiformes; Branchiostomatidae
Source: Rfam
AGUUGCUGUUUCCGGUUUGGCAUCACCCCGUCCAUAGAUCGCCCCCUAGUGUGUUUCGGCUGAUCUGGCUGGUUCCGUGUUGCCACCGCCACAUCCGCAUCUCUUCCACCGGCUCUCCCGACGCCUCGCGCUCGGUCGAGAGUCUACCUCCUCCCCGAGUCAACCCCCUGUGAUUGCCGAAAGGUUGGGUGAAAAGCGUAGCUGCAGCCCCUGAUGUUCUCCACUGCUAGGCUCAGAGAGCGUCCUGUCGAGCGCAGCAAAGUCAAGCGCCACACACAUCCAAUACGGCGCUGCCACGCAGGCGGCUUGCCAUUUUUU